GAGAAUAACAUGAUCCAUAGUAGGUUUAAAUCUUAAAGUAAAAGGGUACGUAUAGACAAAAGAAAAUCUGGUUAAGUAGAAGGCAACUCUUUGAUUCAGGUUGAGAAUAAUGAUAGGAAAGUCAUGAUCCCAAUGGCAGUCUCUACAAACUAGAGAAAUCAAACCUUCAGUGGUUUGAGUGGGAUAAAUAUCAGCACGAUCUAAAGAAGAUACUUG
RNAcentral lists this long non-coding RNA (216 nucleotides) under Nicotiana benthamiana. Its description in RNAcentral is "long non-coding RNA (NBEN_LNC010903)". The record is from RNAcentral. Lineage: Eukaryota; Viridiplantae; Streptophyta; Magnoliopsida; Solanales; Solanaceae.